RNAcentral lists this ribosomal RNA (856 nucleotides) under uncultured bacterium. RNAcentral's name for it is "bacterial SSU rRNA". It matches the Rfam family "Bacterial small subunit ribosomal RNA", at positions 60 to 887 of the family's 1533-position model. The record is from RNAcentral.
AGUUCUCGUUGAUGAUCGGUGCUUGCACCGAGAUUCAACAUGGGAACGAGUGGCGGACGGGUGAGUAACACGUGGGUAACCUGCCCUUAAGUGGGGGAUAACAUUUGGAAACAGAUGCUAAUACCGCAUAGAUCCAAGAACCGCAUGGUUCUUGGCUGAAAGAUGGCGUAAGCUAUCGCUUUUGGAUGGACCCGCGGCGUAUUAGCUAGUUGGUGAGGUAAUGGCUCACCAAGGCGAUGAUACGUAGCCGAACUGAGAGGUUGAUCGGCCACAUUGGGACUGAGACACGGCCCAAACUCCUACGGGAGGCAGCAGUAGGGAAUCUUCCACAAUGGACGCAAGUCUGAUGGAGCAACGCCGCGUGAGUGAAGAAGGCUUUCGGGUCGUAAAACUCUGUUGUUGGAGAAGAAUGGUCGGCAGAGUAACUGUUGUCGGCGUGACGGUAUCCAACCAGAAAGCCACGGCUAACUACGUGCCAGCAGCCGCGGUAAUACGUAGGUGGCAAGCGUUAUCCGGAUUUAUUGGGCGUAAAGCGAGCGCAGGCGGUUUUUUAAGUCUGAUGUGAAAGCCCUCGGCUUAACCGAGGAAGCGCAUCGGAAACUGGGAAACUUGCGUGCAGAAGAGGACAGUGGAACUCCAUGUGUAGCGGUGAAAUGCGUAGAUAUAUGGAAGAACACCAGUGGCGAAGGCGGCUGUCUGGUCUGUAACUGACGCUGAGGCUCGAAAGCAUGGGUAGCGAACAGGAUUAGAUACCCUGGUAGUCCAUGCCGUAAACGAUGAAUGCUAGGUGUUGGAGGGUUUCCGCCCUUCAGUGCCGCAGCUAACGCAUUAAGCAUUCCGCCUGGGGAGUACGACC